This 478-nucleotide ribosomal RNA is filed under the name uncultured bacterium. Its description in RNAcentral is "partial 16S ribosomal RNA". It matches the Rfam family "Bacterial small subunit ribosomal RNA", at positions 28 to 523 of the family's 1533-position model. The record is from RNAcentral.
GACGAACGCUGGCGGCGUGCUUAACACAUGUAAGUCGAACGGUAAGGCCCUUCGGGGUACACGAGUGGCGAACGGGUGAGUAACACGUGGGUGAUCUGCCCUGCACUUCGGGAUAAGCCUGGGAAACUGGGUCUAAUACCGGAUAGGACCACUGCCUGCAUGGGUGGUGGUGGAAAGCUUUUGCGGUGUGGGAUGGGCCCGCGGCCUAUCAGCUUGUUGGUGGGGUGAUGGCCUACCAAGGCGACGACGGGUAGCCGGCCUGAGAGGGUGACCGGGCACACUGGGACUGAGAUACGGCCCAGACUCCUACGGGAGGCAGCAGUGGGGAAUAUUGCACAAUGGGCGCAAGGCUGAUGCAGCGACGCCGCGUGAGGGAUGACGGCCUUCGGGUUGUAAACCUCUUUCAGCACCGACGAAGCGCAAGUGACGGUAGGUGCAGAAGAAGGACCGGCCAACUACGUGCCAGCCGCCGCAGUAA